RNAcentral lists this ribosomal RNA (439 nucleotides) under uncultured bacterium. Its description in RNAcentral is "partial 16S ribosomal RNA". It matches the Rfam family "Bacterial small subunit ribosomal RNA", at positions 342 to 795 of the family's 1533-position model. The record is from RNAcentral.
CGGGAGGCAGCAGCAGUGAGGAAUAUUGCACAAUGGGGGGAACCCUGAUGCAGCAACGCCGCGUGGAGGAUGACGCAUUUCGGUGUGUAAACUCCUUUUAUAUGUCAAGAAAAUGACGGUAGCAUAUGAAUAAGCACCGGCUAACUCCGUGCCAGCAGCCGCGGUAAUACGGAGGGGGCAAGCGUUACUCGGAAUCACUGGGCGUAAAGGACGCGUAGGCGGGUUGGAAAGUCAGGUGUGAAAUCCUACAGCUUAACUGUAGAACUGCACUUGAAACUUCUAAUCUAGAGUAUGGGAGGGGGAGAUGGAAUUAGUGGUGUAGGGGUAAAAUCCGUAGAUAUCACUAGGAAUACCUAAAGCGAAGGCGAUCUCCUGGAACAUUACUGACGCUAAGGCGUGAAAGCGUGGGGAGCAAACAGGAUUAGAUACCCUAGUAGUC